CGGGAAGUAGCUCAGUUUGGUGGAGCACUUGCAUGGGGUGCAAGGGGUCGCAGGUUCAAAUCCUGUCUUUCCGACCA
This 77-nucleotide transfer RNA is filed under the name Candidatus Izemoplasmatales bacterium. RNAcentral's name for it is "tRNA-Pro". It matches the Rfam family "tRNA". From Rfam's summary of the family: Transfer RNA (tRNA) molecules are approximately 80 nucleotides in length. The record is from RNAcentral. Lineage: Bacteria; Bacillati; Mycoplasmatota; Mollicutes; Candidatus Izemoplasmatales.